Molecule: long non-coding RNA, 2223 nt
Filed under: Manihot esculenta (cassava)
Lineage: Eukaryota; Viridiplantae; Streptophyta; Magnoliopsida; Malpighiales; Euphorbiaceae
Description: long non-coding RNA (MESC_LNC002055)
Source: RNAcentral
AAAAUUUUCAAAUUCAUAUAUUCACCAUUAAAUUACAAUUCUAACGAAUGAUUAAAUAAAACAAAUCCACAUUAGGAUAAAAAAGCAAAUAACUGAAAUAAAAGAAAAGAACAAAGAAGAAAAAGAGUUCAGGCUCACCUUGGUAUUGGUAUUUAAGGGAAUAACACCUCUAGCCAAAUCCUCAAUUAAGUAAACAACUUCGUGAAUAAUCUCAAGACCAUUCAAUUCAAGCGAUACAUUCACGUACGACCAUCAUCUUGCCCUAAGUUUACCUCCAUGAAAACUCACAAGCCCUGGUUCUCUCCCUAUAGCCUCUGUACCUAACCAAAACAUCGAGAGAAUUAUAGUUCAAAGAGAAGAAGUCCCUAUUUCGAACCUUGACGAGGAGAGAGAACGAGAGCUCGAUGGUGAGUAUCGGGGACGAGUUAACACGGACGUAAUUGAGUUGAAUUCGAGUGAUUUGGUGUGUAGAGCCGAAAGAGUGAAGGAAGAAAACAGCGGCAAAGAGCAGGAGGAUAACGGAAGUGAAAAAGAUGCAGUAGCGGAAGAAGAGGAGGGAAUAGUUGGGAGGUGGGUGGUAGUACGUGAGAACGACGACGUUUUAGGGAACAGGGCCACGGUGGGAAGGUAGAGAAGCAUAGCAACACAGGAGGUUUUUGAGUAUUAGAUUAUGAUUUUUAAUUUGGGCGUUAUUUCUCAUUUUAAUUCUUUAAAUUAAGAGUUUCAGCCUAAUUAAAAUUUUAAUAUAGAUUGAAUUAGAGUUAACUAUUAUGUAGAUUUUAGAUAAAAAUAAAAUAAAAUAAAAUAAAAUAAAAUAAUGUCACAGAUGUUAGAUUUUAUUUUUAAUUAAUAUUAAAUUAAAAUUUUAUUAUAAUUAUAAUAAAUUUAAAAAUUGAAAUUUUUUAAUUUAAAAUUAAAAUUUUAGAUUAUAAAUAAAAAAAUAAAAAAAAAAAACGGAAAAUCACAGUCUUUUUAAGUCACACGACUCAACUUUUACUUGGGAAUAAUCUAAGCAAACUUGAUUUGGCUUGGAUUUAAAGGUGGUCCAACAUGCUUUCUUCUGUUGUGGGCUUCACCAUUAGGAUAUAUUCUGAUUCUUUUUUUUUUUUUUUUCCAUGUCUGGAAUUUAUGCUUGCCUUUGGACAGAAGAAUUUAGGAAUCAAAAUAAAAGAAAUCAAAUAACUUUACAAAUUAAAAACAUGACUAAAAUAAAACAAAGAGUAACUAAAAUUCAGAAUUUUGAGUAUUUUUAUUAUCUCUACAUUUUUUAAAUUUUAUUAAGGCAUCUCGAUUUUAUUAAAUUUUUCAGCUUUCCUAUUUAUUGGUCUGUUAAUGUUUAAAAUAUUUUAAAAUGCUUAUAAACUUCCAAUAAUUAUAGAGAUAAUUUAAUCGUUUUUUAUUUGAUGAAAGUAUUACUGAUACAAAAAUUUAAAAAUAAAAAAAAAUAUUUAUUUAAAAUUUAUUUAAUUUUUUUUUACCAUAAAAAAAAUUGCAUUAAAAUGUCCAAAACAACAUCAAGAGACUAAACCCAUAACUCAAAGAUCAUAUGAAUCCAAGCCCAGAGAAAAAAAAAAAAAAAAAACUUGGUCUGAAUAAACCCUGACCCAAAGACUAUUAGAACCUGCCAAUUACACCGAACCAAGACCGACUCAUCAAGGGAUUGCAACAAUUAGGGCAAUGAGCAACAAAUCACCAUUUCAUGCAGUCGCAAAACCAUCCAAACAAACCGGCAACAAUCAAUCAUUGACGACAAUUGUCAAACAAAACUAGAAGCCUACUUGACCAAGCGAAAUCAACAUGUAGCCCAAAAUAGCGAACCAUCCUCCAUUUUAGUUGUGCCAUUUCGAAUAGUAACAAUCGUUUGGGGUCAAUUUUCAAUUUUAUUAUUGUUUUAAAAUUUUUCAUAAUUUUUUAUAUUAGAUUUUUUCUAUUAUAAAUAGGAUUUUCUUCAUUAGUUGAGACACUUUUCAAUUUUUGAAAAUUCAAUAAGAAAUUUCUACUUUUAACUUUUUAUUUUCUGAAUUUUGUCUUAACCAAAUAUUAUUAAUUAAAACUCUUGAUGGAGUCUAAACAGUUCUAUUUCCAUUGGUAUCAGCGCAAAGUUCAUCCAUGGCCGACAACCAAGAGGCGCGACUCGCUGCAAUUGAGGCAUCCUUGGCAGAAUUGAGGAAGAUGAUUGGACAGCUAGCCCUACGACUCUAUCAACAAAAGGUUUGAGGAGAU